RNAcentral lists this ribosomal RNA (336 nucleotides) under Triticum aestivum (bread wheat). Its description in RNAcentral is "partial small subunit ribosomal RNA". The record is from RNAcentral. Lineage: Eukaryota; Viridiplantae; Streptophyta; Magnoliopsida; Poales; Poaceae.
GAAAAUGUGCAGCUGAGGGGUUGGAUGUUGUGCAGGCAUGAGUUUUCCUUUUGCCCAAUCGAGCUUGGCUUUGGGAAGAAGAGAAAGGCGUUUGAUGGAGGCAGGUCCCUCAGGUGGGGAGAAGAGCCUGUGCUCCACCUGGCCAGUGAAGUGGUGGCUGCCCUGUCAAUGCCUUUGCCUUUUUUCACAAAAGAGGUAAAAAGGAGCUGUGCACUUGAAACUUUGAUGCUGGCAAGCCUACACGUACCGGGCAUUAUGGGAGUACCUCCUGUCUGUGGAGCUUGUGAGAUGAUGCAGCAGCAGCAGCAGCAACAGCAACAGUCAAUUUGGGUAUAA